AUGAAGUGGCGCCAAGCUUCUGGCAUUCUCUGUGACAAGAGAGUGCCACAAAAGCUAAAAGGCAAGUUCUACAGGACGGCGGUUCGACCCGCAAUGUUGUAUGGCGCCGAGUGUUGGCCGACUAAAAGGCGACAUGUUCAACAGUUAGGUGUGGCGGAGAUGCGUAUGUUGAGAUGGAUGUGUGGCCACACGAGGAAGGAUCGAGUCCGGAAUGAUGAUAUACGAGAUAGAGUUGGGGUAGCACCAAUUGAGGAGAAGCUUGUCCAACAUCGUUUGAGAUGGUUUGGGCAUAUUCAGCGCAGGCCUCCAGAAGCUCCA
Molecule: ribosomal RNA, 318 nt
Filed under: Triticum aestivum (bread wheat)
Lineage: Eukaryota; Viridiplantae; Streptophyta; Magnoliopsida; Poales; Poaceae
Description: partial small subunit ribosomal RNA
Source: RNAcentral